RNAcentral lists this ribosomal RNA (470 nucleotides) under uncultured bacterium. RNAcentral's name for it is "bacterial SSU rRNA". It matches the Rfam family "Bacterial small subunit ribosomal RNA", at positions 337 to 797 of the family's 1533-position model. The record is from RNAcentral.
UCCUACGGGGGGCAGCAGUCGAGAGGCUUCCACAAUGGGGGAAACCCUGAUGGAGCGACGCCGCGUGGGUGAUGAAGGUCUUCGGAUCGUAAAACCCUUUCAGUAGGGAAGAAGGACCCGGGUGCUAAUACCACCAGGGUCAAGACGGUACCUACAGAAGAAGCUCCGGCUAACUCCGUGCCAGCAGCCGCGGUAAGACGGGGGGAGCAAGCGUUGUUCGGAUUUACUGGGCGUAAAGGGCGUCUAGGCGGGCUUUCAAGUCGAAUGUGAAACCCCACGGCUCAACCGUGGAUCUGCAUUUGAUACUGUUGGUCUUGAGUACGGAAGAGGAAAGCGGAAUUCCAGGUGUAGCGGUGAAAUGCGUAGAUAUCUGGAAGAACACCGGUGGCGAAGGCGGCUUUCUGGUCCGAUACUGACGCUGAAGCGCGAAAGUGUGGGGAGCAAACAGGAUUAGAUACCCGAGUAGUCCG